GAAAAAAAACAAGUGAGGAUGAGGACACACUCUCUCAUUUGAAAAAUCACGCUAGUAUUGUACUUCUGACUACAAAAGUUGACUGACAAAGUGACCACUGCAGCAGAGCAGAGAUGUUGAAUAUCUCACUGAGUAUGUUUUCCUUUUGCAGCUGAUGAGGAACACCAGCAAAAUGUGGCGGCGGCAGCAGCAGUGGCCAGACCUCGGCCCCAAACUGAGGAACGAGGGGAUGGGAUGCCCAGGCGACGAAGGAACAUGGGAAAUCGGAUGAUGGCCCAGAGGAGAGCACAGCAGGCGGAAGACUGGGCCGAAGAGGAAGAUGAUGGUGAAGAGGUGCCAGAAUUUCAGGUGUCUGGGAAAAUCGGAGCAAAGAAACAGAGGAAAUUAGAAGAGAAACAAGCCAGAAAAGCGCAGAGAGAGGCUGAAGAAGCAGAGCGAGAAGAACGGAAAAAACUUGAGUCAAAGAGAGAGGAGGAAAGGCGGAAAGAAGAGGAGAGAAUACGUCUUGAAGAAGAACGACAGGUGGGAUUGGUUGUAACUUGUAGAUGGAAAUUUUGAACCAAAUUUGACUUUGUAACAUUACUUUUC
RNAcentral lists this long non-coding RNA (588 nucleotides) under Dromaius novaehollandiae (emu). Its description in RNAcentral is "lncRNA (ENSDNVG00000016120.1)". The record is from RNAcentral. Lineage: Eukaryota; Metazoa; Chordata; Aves; Casuariiformes; Dromaiidae.